This 294-nucleotide unclassified non-coding RNA is filed under the name Lepiota rhodophylla. RNAcentral's name for it is "partial contains 5.8S ribosomal RNA, internal transcribed spacer 2, and large subunit ribosomal RNA". Lineage: Eukaryota; Fungi; Basidiomycota; Agaricomycetes; Agaricales; Agaricaceae. The record is from RNAcentral.
CGCACCUUGCACUCCUUGGUAUUCCGAGGAGUAUGCCUGUUUGAGUGUCAUUAAAUUCUCAACUACACUAGUUUUCACCGACUAUGUGUGGCUUGGAUCUUGGGAUCUGCAGGUUUCAAUUGAAAUCAGCUGUCCUUAAAUGCAUUAGCAAGACUUUUGUAGCUGGCUAUCAGUAUGAUAACUAUCUAUGCUGUUAGCACGCCGCAUGAAUGGGGUUUUGCUUCUAACUGUCUAUUACUGGACAACUUAUGACAAUUUGACCUCAAAUCAGGUAGGACUACCCGCUGAACUUAA